This 242-nucleotide ribosomal RNA is filed under the name uncultured Bolidomonas. Its description in RNAcentral is "partial Bacterial large subunit ribosomal RNA". It matches the Rfam family "Bacterial large subunit ribosomal RNA", at positions 892 to 1131 of the family's 2925-position model. Lineage: Eukaryota; Bolidophyceae. The record is from RNAcentral.
UUUUUUUGAGGGAGAGCACUAAUUGAUCGAGGGGGGUGUCAAACCUUACUGAACUCAGAUAAACUCCGAAUGCAAAAAAAAGGAUUUUAAGCAGACAGACGUUGAGUGCUAAGAUUCAUCAGUCAAGAGGGAAACAGCCCAGAUUGUUCGUUAAGGUCCAUAAAAAUAGUUAAGUGAAUAAGAAGGUGAAAAAAUAAAAACAACCAAAAGGUAGGCUUGGAAGCAGCCAUCCUUUAAAGAAA